Molecule: ribosomal RNA, 200 nt
Filed under: uncultured Glomus
Lineage: Eukaryota; Fungi; Glomeromycota; Glomeromycetes; Glomerales; Glomeraceae
Description: partial small subunit ribosomal RNA
Rfam family: Eukaryotic small subunit ribosomal RNA
Source: RNAcentral
CCAAUAGCGUAUAUUAAAGUUGUUGCAGUUAAAAAGCUCGUAGUUGAAUUUCGGGAUCAAUUAAUUGGUCGUGCCUAUGGUACGUACUGAUUUUAUUGGUUUCUCCCUUCUGACGAACCAUGAUGUCAUUAAUUUGGUGUCGUGGAGAAUUAGGAUUGUUACUUUGAAAAAAUUAGAGUGUUUAAAGCAAGCUAACGCUU